RNAcentral lists this ribosomal RNA (428 nucleotides) under Thermococcus sp. 21S8. Its description in RNAcentral is "bacterial SSU rRNA". It matches the Rfam family "Archaeal small subunit ribosomal RNA", at positions 65 to 490 of the family's 1478-position model. The record is from RNAcentral. Lineage: Archaea; Methanobacteriati; Methanobacteriota; Thermococci; Thermococcales; Thermococcaceae.
GCGCUCUGCGCGCACCGGCGGACGGCUCAGUAACACGUCGGUAACCUACCCUCGGGAGGGGGAUAACCCCGGGAAACUGGGGCUAAUCCCCCAUAGGCCUGGGGUACUGGAAGGUCCCCAGGCCGAAAGGGGCUCUGCCCGCCCGAGGAUGGGCCGGCGGCCGAUUAGGUAGUUGGUGGGGUAACGGCCCACCAAGCCGAAGAUCGGUACGGGCCAUGAGAGUGGGAGCCCGGAGAUGGACACUGAGACACGGGUCCAGGCCCUACGGGGCGCAGCAGGCGCGAAACCUCCGCAAUGCGGGCAACCGCGACGGGGGGACCCCCAGUGCCGUGGCACAGCCACGGCUUUUCCGGAGUGUAAAAAGCUCCGGGAAUAAGGGCUGGGCAAGGCCGGUGGCAGCCGCCGCGGUAAUACCGGCGGCCCAAGUG